RNAcentral lists this ribosomal RNA (403 nucleotides) under uncultured Nitrosospira sp. RNAcentral describes it as "bacterial SSU rRNA". It matches the Rfam family "Bacterial small subunit ribosomal RNA", at positions 249 to 643 of the family's 1533-position model. Lineage: Bacteria; Pseudomonadati; Pseudomonadota; Betaproteobacteria; Nitrosomonadales; Nitrosomonadaceae. The record is from RNAcentral.
UUGGUGAGGUAAAGGCUUACCAAGGCUUCGAUCAGUAGCUGGUCUGAGAGGACGACCAGCCACACUGGGACUGAGACACGGCCCAGACUCCUACGGGAGGCAGCAGUGGGGAAUUUUGGACAAUGGGGGAAACCCUGAUCCAGCCAUGCCGCGUGAGUGAAGAAGGCCUUCGGGUUGUAAAGCUCUUUCAGCCGGAACGAAACGGUCACGGCCAAUACCCGUGAUCACUGACGGUACCGGAAGAAGAAGCACCGGCUAACUACGUGCCAGCAGCCGCGGUAAUACGUAGGGUGCGAGCGUUAAUCGGAAUUACUGGGCGUAAAGCGUGCGCAGGCGGUUUUGUAAGUCAGAUGUGAAAUCCCCGGGCUCAACCUGGGAACUGCGUUUGAAACUACCAAGGCUA